Molecule: ribosomal RNA, 459 nt
Filed under: uncultured bacterium
Lineage: Bacteria
Description: bacterial SSU rRNA
Rfam family: Bacterial small subunit ribosomal RNA
Source: RNAcentral
UGGGGAAUUUUGGACAAUGGGCGCAAGCCUGAUCCAGCCAUGCCGCGUGAGUGAAGAAGGCCUUCGGGUUGUAAAGCUCUUUCGGCGGGGACGAAAUAUGCCGGGCUAAUACCCCGGUAGGCUGACGUUACUCAAUGAAGAAGCACCGGCUAACUCUGUGCCAGCAGCCGCGGUAAUACAGAGGGUGCGAGCGUUAAUCGGAAUUACUGGGCGUAAAGCGCACGUAGGUGGCGACGUAAGUCGGGUGUGAAAGCCCCGGGCUCAACCUGGGAACCGCAUUCGAGACUGUGUUGCUGGAGUACGGAAGAGGAGGGCGGAAUUCCCGGUGUAGCGGUGAAAUGCGUAGAUAUCUGGAGGAACACCUGAGGUGAAGACGGGUUGCUGGGCUGACACUGACGCUGAGGCGCGAAAGCCAGGGGAGCAAACGGGAUUAGAUACCCCUGUAGUCCCUGAGCGGGC